Molecule: long non-coding RNA, 479 nt
Organism: Cavia porcellus (domestic guinea pig)
Lineage: Eukaryota; Metazoa; Chordata; Mammalia; Rodentia; Caviidae
Exons: 2
Source: RefSeq, a predicted model, not a curated record
AAUCGCAUCCUGUCUCCCUCUCUCUUUUCUCUUGCCCUGCCCCCAUCCCCGAUCCCCUCUCCAGGUGAGACCCAUGGAUUGGUCUGCAGGCCGGAUCACCAAUCCCAUCUAAAUUGCAAAGGAUAGGAUGAUGCUGGCUACCACUUGGGCUGUACAGGAGAACCUGCUCUCUGGGCUGGGCUAUGGUUUGGGUCUGGAUGCACCGCAAAGCCCAGCCUGUUCGAAGUUGGACUUUUGGACGAUGAUUGGAUCAAAGAGCUGCUAUGCUGGUUAGAUCGGAAUGCACUGUUUGGAAGCCGGGUCUGGUCCAGGGACCCGACCUAAAAGGGUGUCUCUGACUCCUCUUUCUGCUUCUUCCUGCCCACCAUGAGGCGAGCAGUGCCUUUCCUGCGUAGGCCACUUCCACCAGGCCAGUUCUGGUGAGAGCCAGCAAACUGUAGAAUAAAACCAUCAGCCAAAAUAAAUCUCUCUGCUUUUCA